This is a long non-coding RNA of Adelges cooleyi (spruce gall adelgid), 727 nucleotides long. RefSeq lists it as uncharacterized. The record is from RefSeq and is a predicted model, not a curated record. Lineage: Eukaryota; Metazoa; Arthropoda; Insecta; Hemiptera; Adelgidae. The transcript is spliced from 3 exons.
AUGAAUUAUUUAUUGACUAUUUCAACACAUUCAUUUUAUUUUAUGGUCCUUUGGCUUAUAACAACUUUAUGCAUUUUCAGUAACCCCGUCAGCAACAGCGAUACAACAGGAAUCAAUAACCCCGCCAGCACCACAGACACGGCAAUCAAGAACCCCGCCAGCACCACAGACACGGCAAUCGAGUAUGUUUAAGCUUACAAAACAAUAAGCAACAAGUUAAAUAAUAUUUUUAUUAUUUUAAUAAUAAUAUUCUAACAAAUUGCACUAUAUCUUAUUUAUUUUGUACUUGAUAUUGUUUAUUUGUACAUUUGUUUUAUUGUAUGGUCCAUUUGGAUUAUAAUAACUUCAUUUAUUUUUAGUAAUCCCGCCAGCACAACAGACACGGAAAAUAAGUAUGUUUAAGUUUACAAAACAAUAAUAAAUAUGUUAAAUAAUAUUUUUAUUAUUUUAAUAAUAAGAUUCUAACAAAUAUGAACUAUAUUUCACUGUCUACAUAAGUGGCCUAAAGUUAUUUUUAUUUAAGCAGUGUAAUCCGGAAACUAAGAAUGGUCGAUAAGAAGUUUUGAUAUUUUAUUUUGGUGAUUUUUAAAAUAUAAAUCUGUAGGCUAGAAAGAGAGGCACCUAUGCAAUACUAAUUUGAUUGAUGUGAAUUACUAAGGCACAAUUAAUUUUUACACAAUUACAGUAAUAAGUCACUCGAAAAAUUACCAUACUUAUUUUGUAUUUA